RNA transcript from Tribolium madens (black flour beetle), 697 nucleotides. RefSeq lists it as uncharacterized. The transcript has 4 exons. The record is from RefSeq and is a predicted model, not a curated record. NCBI's taxonomy places the organism in Eukaryota, Metazoa, Arthropoda, Insecta, Coleoptera, Tenebrionidae.
AAGGUUUUUUUCUCUAAAGGUUGGUAUUGAAAAAAAAGCAAUAGUUUCAAAAAACGCAAAACGACGCUUUCAUUUUUACUGAAAAACUACUGAAAAUGUGGCUAUUUUCCCACUCAAAGUGUAAUCAUGGUAUGUAAAACAAUAAAUAUUAACGAUUUUCGUUUUAAGUCCAAAUUUGGAGUUGUUACAUCAGUAGAUUUUUUUCUCUAAAUGUUGGUAUUGAAAAAAAGCAAUUGUUUCAAAAAACGCAUAAUGACGCUUUCUUUUUUACUGAAAAACUACCCAAAAUGUGACUAUUUUCCCACUCAAAGUGUAAUCAUGGUAUGUAAAACAAUAAAUAUUAACUAUUUUCGUUUCAGGUCCAAGUUUGGAGUUGUUACAUGGAUUUUUUUUCUCUAAAGAUCCAAAUUUGGAGUUGUUACCUCAGUGGAUUUUUUUUCUCUAAAGGUCCAAAUUUGGAGUUGUUACAUGGAUUUUUUUCUCUAAAGAUUGGUAUUGAAAAAAAGAAAUUGUUUCAAAAAACUCAAAACGACGCUUUCAUUUUUACUGAAAAACUACUCAAAUUGUGGCUAUUUUCUCACUUAAAGUGUAAUCAUGGUUGGUAUUGAAAAAAAGCAAUUGUUUCAAAAAACGCAAACUGACGCUUUCCAUUUUAUUGAAAAACUACUCAAAAUGUGGCUAUUUUUCCACUCAAAGU